AAUACUGCUUAUAAUUGAUCUGAAACUGUUUUACAAUUAGGGCUAGGUUCCUAACUUCUACUCUUUUAGUUUGAAUUUGAAUUCCUUUUUCUGGCUAAUUUCAGAUCUAGCUAGAUUCAAUUUGGUUAUAUGUAUGUGUGUCUGCAAAUAUACUUUUGAAGCAACUUAUUCUUUAAUUGAUUUCUUCUUAUGCAAAACUGGUUUGCAGUUGGUUCUUUUUUCAUAGAUUGGGGUUAUUUAUUAAAAGGUGGGUGUAAUUUAGGAAGUAGCGUAAGGAGCAGUGCAGGGGAAUUGGUGCUAAGACACAAAACUUGUCAGGAAUUGGCCCUAGGUGAAAGGUUUAUUAUUUGCGCCUUGCGUGGGCUUUGAGUCUUUGUUGUCUUUCAGGCAUUGGGUAGUGGAUUCGCGCAAUUCGCCUAGACCGGUUUUCCAGAGAUGCAAAGACAUAAUCUAGAGUCAACAGCUUCACACCAAGGUUGAUCCUGUUUUAGCUGGGUUCGGCUUGACAAAGAAUUGCUUGUUUGUUCAUCGGUUCUUCUUUCUGGACUGACCAAAGGUUAUGUUAGCGGAAUAGAUAGUUUGGUGUUCACUUUUUUUUUAUCUAUUAUCCCCAUUUACUAUCUAAAACAAUUCACUAAUUUGAAGUGGUUAAAUAAGUUUAAUGAUUGGUGUGAUACAAGGGUCGAAGAUAUUUUUGAGAGAACAAUUGGUGCUUUAGAAAGAGGGAAACAGGUACAUAAUUGAGAGUGAUAAUGGUAGAAACAAGCUGGAGUUUGCUGUAAUCUAAAACCAUCGAUUCAAUAUCUAUGCAUUAUAAGACACACAUCAUACAGAGGGAGAGGGAAGAAUACGGAGACAGGGGAGCCAUCGCAGGUCUUGCUUCUUUUCUUUUUUUCGUCUCCGUCAGUGUAGAAGCCAUCGCAGGUCUCGCUUCUUCAACUCUAAAAGUCAUUGCAGGUCGCAUUUCGAUUCGGUCAGGUUUGGUGACAAGUAUCUUAUAAAGACACCUCCCGAAUUGAUUGGCGAUUUCGCAAUACAUGGUUCCGUGUGACGUUGGCUGCUUAUAAGUAGACCUGAGGGAAAACUGGUGUUCUUUAAACCCAUCACAAGUGAUAUUGAAACCUGUAAAUGAAGCGUAAUCGAUCCUGUCUCUACGAAAUGGGUUAUUUUAUGAAAGAGUAAUGGGUCAAAAUGAGUUAUUUGUUACGCAUUCCCCUCAAUAAUCCUUCGUAAAGUGCCCCCUUUGUAAGGUGGUUAAUGAUUUGUUAAAUCCUAUCUGUUAAAAUGCCUUUUGAAGGUUCACAAAGGAAAAUAUAGCCAAAUUCAUUUGAUUGCUUCACUAACUGUUGGAUUGAGUCGCUGCCAUGACGAGUUUGCAGUUGCUAUAGUCGACAAGUCCUUGCUAUGUGGCCCGAACCCAAAUUCACCGGCAAACUCAGAGGCAGCGCGGUUAUUUAGUGAGAAUAAACGCGAGUAUAACAGGAAAGUGUGGGAGGUUGUGGAGCAGAGCUGGACAGCUGACUAGCCAGGUGUUUGGUUCAUGUCUCUCUCUUAUCUCUUCAUGGUCUGUAUCUCUGUAAUAUUGGUAUUAUAGAACCACUUAAAACAGUAAUAACGAAUAUUGUAUUGUGGGAACUUUGUUGGUUUGAAAGUCAGCUUUUAUUAUCUUUUAA
Molecule: long non-coding RNA, 1673 nt
Organism: Helianthus annuus (common sunflower)
Lineage: Eukaryota; Viridiplantae; Streptophyta; Magnoliopsida; Asterales; Asteraceae
Exons: 5
Source: RefSeq, a predicted model, not a curated record